AACUUGAAUCGCACCGAGGAGCGAAGACAGACGAAGAACGAAGAACGUAACCUAAUCUGUCUCGCCCGAAUUGAACGAAGCAGAAGAAGAACGAAGCAAUUAACCAUUGAUCUCUGCGAAAAAGGUUUGAAUCUCCUUCUUUCACUCUCUGUUUUGUUUAUUCUUCGCUGUUUUCUCAUUUCUGGAUUCUGGCAUCAAUUUCAGUUUCAAGUUCAUACUUCUGUGUUUCUUCACUCGUUGUGAUUCAAGUUCAUACUUCUGGGUUCUUCAAUCGAUUUCGCAGAAGAAGAAACCUCAGCCCUCAAGUAUGUUUCUCCAACCCGAUUGCUGCUACAGUGUCUGUAUUUUCUUCAUCAAUUCAAUUCGUCUGUGUUUGAUGAACUCUCUGUCGAUUCAUUGUUCGUUCAUUUGUUUGAUGUUGCUUCUGGGUUCUUCAUUUGUUUGUAAAUUGAUGCAGAAAUGUUAGAAUGCUCUCGGAUGCAUUAUGUUAAUGCAUUAUGUUAGAAUUGUUAGCAUUACUGCUCAAACGCUAAGAUCUGGGCUGGACAAAGAACUUCAAACCUAUUCUUGUAGAUUGCAGUGCACAUACACGUACAAAAUUUUGAGUGAAAACAUAUGAUUUCCCUUCAUAAUGCCUGUUAAGUAAUUUAAAGAGUAGUUUGUAUGCUUAAAAACAUUCUAUGUUGCUGCACUGAUGAAGUUGAAAGGGGCUUGAGUAAUUUCAUUCAAGAAUUUGCGAUUUAAAUUAAUUAACAUAUAAUGAAUUCAAAUUUAGUUGAGAUCUUUGAAACCCAAUUAGAAAUGACAUAACAACAGCUUGCCUGAUCAUCAGCAUCAAUUACAAGCUCUACUUGUGAACGGUAACAAAUGAAAGGUUUUAUCAGUUUUAUACCUGACAUAAAGUACCAAACUACAAAUCAGUGCCACAAAAGAUCUGAUUAACAAACUCAAGAAAGAAUAAUAAAUGUAAACAAGACCUGAGAAAGAAAAAAUAGAUUGUACUUCUAAAAAAAGACAGUUAUAUCGAUCCAACAAAAAAUUGUCCCCCAAUCAACAUCUGAAGUUAGAUCUUCCAUGGCAUGAAAGAAACUGUAAUAUUUGUCAACAAAGACACUUCCAAGACAAUUCAUAAAGCAUGUGUUCCCUAGGUUCUGCAACCCAAUCAAGCCACCAGAAGACCCCCUUGUAGUAACAGUACUGGUCCCAUAUGCAUUAUCCAGCUCCCUACCCUGAUAUGUCAGAUUUGGACCCUGGGAUGUCAGAUUUGGACUUUGAGAUAGCUCUGCACUGCAGCCUCUAGAAGCACCCUUGCUUGCAGAUAAACCUCCUGCAAUUGAUAUGCUUGACUUAGAAGGCUGUAAAUGAAAAGAACUUGCGUCCUUCACAGUUGGUCCAUUGUCCUGAGUAGAUCUUAUAAAACAACUCAAUGCAGUACCAUUGGCAAUGUCAUGAACCUCCACCAGAAUCUGUAUAUUUGGUUUGUAUAUUUUGAUGUUUUGUUUUAAAUAUUUUGAAAUUUAUGUUGUUGGAAUUUAUGUGGUUGGAUGUUUUGUUUUAAAUAUUUUAUAAUUUAUAUUUGGUUUGUAUUUUGGAUAUUGAAUUAAAUUUAUGUUGUUGGUUUAUAAUUUAAAUUUGAUUUAAGUGUUGUUUUGUAAUUAGUUAUGUGUUUUUUUUUAUAUAGGUUUUUUUGGGUCAACCCACCUGACCCGUGACCCAGAAGGUCGACCGGGUCAAUGACCGGGUCGGGUUUCAAAACUAUGGUUCAUUCUUUUACAUAUUGUAAUUGUAAUUUUUUCUUGAUUAUUAUUUUUUUG
This 1814-nucleotide long non-coding RNA is filed under the name Populus tremula. Its description in RNAcentral is "long non-coding RNA (PTRE_LNC000757)". Lineage: Eukaryota; Viridiplantae; Streptophyta; Magnoliopsida; Malpighiales; Salicaceae. The record is from RNAcentral.